GUAAAAUUAGUUAAUUUAUAACAUUAAUUUGUCAUGUUAAAAUAGCUUCAGCAUUUUAUA
This 60-nucleotide transfer RNA is filed under the name Stygobromus indentatus. RNAcentral describes it as "tRNA-Asp". Lineage: Eukaryota; Metazoa; Arthropoda; Malacostraca; Amphipoda; Crangonyctidae. The record is from RNAcentral.